This 468-nucleotide ribosomal RNA is filed under the name uncultured bacterium. Its description in RNAcentral is "partial 16S ribosomal RNA". It matches the Rfam family "Bacterial small subunit ribosomal RNA", at positions 28 to 507 of the family's 1533-position model. The record is from RNAcentral.
GACGAACGCUGGCGGCGUGCUUAACACAUGCAAGUCGAACGGAAAGGCCCUGCUUUUGUGGGGUGCUCGAGUGGCGAACGGGUGAGUAACACGUGAGUAACCUGCCCUUGACUUUGGGAUAACUUCAGGAAACUGGGGCUAAUACCGGAUAGGAGCUCCUGCUGCAUGGUGGGGGUUGGAAAGUUUCGGCGGUUGGGGAUGGACUCGCGGCUUAUCAGCUGGUUGGUGGGGUGGUGGCUUACCAAGGCUUUGACGGGUAGCCGGCCUGAGAGGGUGACCGGCCACAUUGGGACUGAGCUACGGCCCAGACUCCUACGGGAGGCAGCAGUGGGGAAUAUUGCACAAUGGGCGGAAGCCUGAUGCAGCAACGCCGCGUGCGGGAUGACGGCCUUCGGGUUGUAAACCGCUUUCGCCUGUGACGAAGCGUGAGUGACGGUAAUGGGUAAAGAAGCACCGGCUAACUCCGUG